This 486-nucleotide ribosomal RNA is filed under the name uncultured bacterium. RNAcentral describes it as "partial 16S ribosomal RNA". The stretch from base 53 to 486 matches the Rfam family "Bacterial small subunit ribosomal RNA", at positions 35 to 507 of the family's 1533-position model. The record is from RNAcentral.
GGGGGGGGGGGGGGGGGGGGGGGGGGGGGGCGGGGGGGGGGGGGGGGGGGGGGCUGGCGCCGGGGGGCGGGUGGCGGACGGGGGGGUAAUACAUCGGGAGAUGUCCUGGAGUGGGGGAUAGCCCGGCGAAAGCCGGAUUAAUACCGCAUACGAUCUACGGAUGAAAGCGGGGGACCUUCGGGCCUCGCGCUAUGGGGUCGGCCGCUGGCUGAUUAGCUAGUUGGUGGGGUAAAGGCCUACCAAGGCGACGAUCCGUAGCUGGUCUGAGAGGACGACCAGCCACACUGGGACUGAGACACGGCCCAGACUCCUACGGGAGGCAGCAGUGGGGAAUUUUGGACAAUGGGCGAAAGCCUGAUCCAGCAAUGCCGCGUGUGUGAAGAAGGCCUUCGGGUUGUAAAGCACUUUUGUCCGGAAAGAAAUCCUUGGCCCUAAUACGGUCGGGGGAUGACGGUACCGGAAGAAUAAGCACCGGCUAACUACGUG